This 897-nucleotide ribosomal RNA is filed under the name Lulesia fallax. RNAcentral describes it as "Clitocella fallax partial large subunit ribosomal RNA". It matches the Rfam family "Eukaryotic large subunit ribosomal RNA", at positions 41 to 923 of the family's 3401-position model. Lineage: Eukaryota; Fungi; Basidiomycota; Agaricomycetes; Agaricales; Entolomataceae. The record is from RNAcentral.
UAUCAAUAAGCGGAGGAAAAGAAACUAACAAGGAUUCCCCUAGUAACUGCGAGUGAAGCGGGAAAAGCUCAAAUUUAAAAUCUGGUAGUCUCUGGCUGCCCGAGUUGUAAUCUAGAGAAGUGUUAUCCGCGCUGGACCGUGUACAAGUCUCCUGGAAUGGAGCGUCAUAGAGGGUGAGAAUCCCGUCUUUGACACGGACUACCAGGGCUUUUGUGAUGCGCUCUCAAAGAGUCGAGUUGUUUGGGAAUGCAGCUCUAAAUGGGUGGUAAAUUCCAUCUAAAGCUAAAUAUUGGCGAGAGACCGAUAGCGAACAAGUACCGUGAGGGAAAGAUGAAAAGAACUUUGGAAAGAGAGUUAAACAGUACGUGAAAUUGUUGAAAGGGAAACGCUUGAAGUCAGUCGCGUUGGCCAGGAAUCAGCCUUGCUUUUGCUUGGUGUAUUUCCUGGCUGAUGGGUCAGCAUCAAUUUUGACCGGUGGAAAAAGGUCAGGGGAAUGUGGCAUCUUCGGAUGUGUUAUAGCCUCUGGUCGUAUACAUCGGUUGGGAUUGAGGAACUCAGCACGCCGCAAGGUCGGGUUUUUAACCACGUUCGUGCUUAGGAUGCUGGCAUAAUGGCUUUAAUCGACCCGUCUUGAAACACGGACCAAGGAGUCUAACAUGCCUGCGAGUGUUUGGGUGGAAAACCCGAGCGCGUAAUGAAAGUGAAAGUUGAGAUCCCUGUCGUGGGGAGCAUCGACGCCCGGACCAGACCUUCUGUGACGGCUCCGCGGUAGAGCAUGUAUGUUGGGACCCGAAAGAUGGUGAACUAUGCCUGAAUAGGGUGAAGCCAGAGGAAACUCUGGUGGAGGCUCGUAGCGAUUCUGACGUGCAAAUCGAUCGUCAAAUUUGGGUAUAGGGG